CUUGACUGGUCCCUUUCAACUGUCCCCUCAGGUGGGGAGGAUGGGCAGAAGCGGCGACGCAACCGGCCUGAAGCCUUCCCCACUGCUGAAGAUAUCUUUGCUAAGUUCCAGCACCUUUCACAUUAUGACCAACACCAGGUCACGGCUCAGGUCUCCCGGAAUGUUCUGGAGCAGAUCACGAGCUUUGCCCUUGGCAUGUCAUACCACUUGCCUCUGGUGCAGCAUGUGCAGUUCAUCUUCGACCUCAUGGAAUAUUCACUCAGCAUCAGUGGCCUCAUCGACUUUGCCAUUCAGGUGGGGAAGUUGGGGAGAUGAGGGUGGAGGAAGGAGUUCGUGCCAUAUAGGGGCUAUGGAGGGUCAUAAGGACAGGGGUAAAUGCUCCAGCCAGUUUCCCAGGCUAUUUGAAGGGGCAGAAAGACUAGCACGGGGGGAGUGGAACAUGAGCUGAGACUGCAGGAAUAGAGACAAGUGCUCCCUGGGGAGGCCAAGAGGCAGAUUAGAGCAUUGGGCACAGACCAUCCUCCCACUGUGGAGUUCAUAGAACUGUAUCCUGGACACUGGUUAGAGGUGUUGUUGAUAGACUAAAGGACCGUGGCAUAGGGUAACGAGCCCUUCUAUCCUGAGGUGGCUCCAGCAGGAAGGGGCUCAGGCCCAGCCUUGCCAGCGUCCCCACAGGAAGGUGGGUUCUAUGUAACAUGAGGGGCCUCUUUGCAUUUCUCACCCCCGUUCACUCUGCUAGCUGCUGAAUGAACUGAGUGUAGUUGAGGCUGAGCUGCUUCUCAAAUCCUCGGAUCUGGUGGGCAGCUACACUACUAGCCUGUGCCUGUGCAUCGUGGCUGUCCUGCGGCACUAUCAUGCCUGCCUCAUCCUCAACCAGGACCAGAUGGCACAGGUCUUUGAGGGGCUGUGUGGCGUUGUGAAGCAUGGGAUGAACCGGUCCGAUGGCUCCUCUGCAGAGCGCUGUAUCCUUGCUUAUCUCUAUGAUCUGUACACCUCCUGUAGCCAUUUAAAGAACAAAUUUGGGGAGCUCUUCAGCGACUUUUGCUCAAAGGUGAAGAACACCAUCUACUGCAACGUGGAGCCAUCGGAAUCAAAUAUGCGCUGGGCACCUGAGUUCAUGAUUGACACUCUAGAGAACCCUGCAGCUCACACCUUCACCUACACAGGGCUAGGCAAGAGUCUUAGUGAGAACCCUGCUAACCGCUACAGCUUUGUCUGCAAUGCCCUUAUGCACGUCUGUGUGGGGCACCAUGAUCCCGAUAGGGUGAAUGACAUCGCAAUCCUGUGUGCAGAGCUGACCGGCUAUUGCAAGUCACUGAGUGCAGAAUGGCUAGGAGUGCUUAAGGCCUUGUGCUGCUCCUCUAACAAUGGCACUUGUGGUUUCAACGACCUCCUCUGCAAUGUAGAUGUCAGUGACCUGUCUUUUCAUGACUCGUUAGCUACUUUUGUUGCCAUCCUCAUCGCUCGGCAGUGUUUGCUCCUGGAAGAUCUGAUUCGCUGUGCUGCCAUCCCUUCACUCCUUAAUGCUGCUUGUAGUGAACAGGACUCUGAGCCAGGGGCCCGGCUUACCUGCCGCAUCCUCCUUCACCUUUUCAAGACACCGCAGCUCAAUCCUUGCCAGUCUGAUGGAAACAAGCCUACAGUAGGAAUCCGCUCCUCCUGUGACCGCCACCUGCUGGCUGCCUCCCAGAACCGCAUCGUGGAUGGAGCUGUGUUUGCUGUUCUCAAGGCUGUGUUUGUACUUGGGGAUGCGGAACUGAAAGGUUCAGGCUUCACUGUGACAGGAGGAACAGAAGAACUUCCAGAGGAGGAGGGAGGAGGUGGCAGUGGUGGUCGGAGGCAGGGUGGCCGCAACAUCUCUGUGGAGACAGCCAGUCUGGAUGUCUAUGCCAAGUACGUGCUGCGCAGCAUCUGCCAACAGGUCAGUCUCACCUUCCUCCCACACCUCCUAAAUGCCUCUGUGUAAUAUAGUCCCGUUUCCAGCCCAUGAUCACACCACCUCCCUACUAUACAUUGUGUUCCUUACCAACUCCAACCCGUCCUCCAUAUUCCUAACCCCCUCACUGGUUGCUCCCAGUCCCUGAUUGUCAGCUUCCUCAGGAAUGGGUAGGAGAACGUUGCCUUAAGUCGCUGUGUGAGGACAGCAAUGACCUGCAAGACCCAGUGUUGAGUAGUGCCCAGGCGCAGCGCCUCAUGCAGCUCAUCUGCUACCCACAUCGACUGCUGGACAAUGAGGAUGGGGAAAACCCCCAGCGGCAGCGCAUAAAGCGCAUUCUUCAGGUAGGCCAAGGCUGUGGGGGCCGCAGAGGAAGCAGUGGGCCCAAUCUGGGGAGAAACAA
RNAcentral lists this long non-coding RNA (2339 nucleotides) under Rhinopithecus roxellana (golden snub-nosed monkey). RNAcentral's name for it is "lncRNA (ENSRROG00000046019.1)". Lineage: Eukaryota; Metazoa; Chordata; Mammalia; Primates; Cercopithecidae. The record is from RNAcentral.